CUCAGAUCCAUGGCUGAGGUUGCCUGUACCCCCUGCACGGAGUUCUGCAAGGCCCCUCCUAUUACAUUGACGCAGCAGAGCAGACAUGUUGGAGGAGAGGAAGGAACUGAGACACUGAAUGAACUACCCUCAUGAACUGUGAAACUGCACCUGAAAGUCAGCAAGGUGACAAGGAUGUGACCCUUGGAAGGGAGAAGACCCACCAGGUGUCCUAGGGAGUAGUUCUCUUUUCUAUAGUUUCUCCACACUGCAUAUCCAGUGACAGACUGGGGAUCAGCAAAUUUCUGGGGAGUGGACUGAAGCAAGGAAGGAUCAUAAAGACAGCCUCACUUGGACACUGUGAAAGUGUCAGUGUUGGAAUAAGCCAGCCCUCUGAGGAUCUAUAGGGGCGUUUAAUUCCUGCAGCCCUGGAGAGUUGGAGAUUGGCUAAGAAGAACAGAAGCAGCAGCAUCUUCUCCGAAAGGCUGAUCAGGUCUGAAGUGGUGUGUGCCUUCUCCUUCCAGGCUUUUCAGUCCUAGAGGUGAAGGAGGAAAGGGCUGGCUCAGUGACCACCAAUUUCCUCCCAGUUCUAUUGCUUCUUAAGAUUAGAGCUUUCGUCACAUCCCUCUUCACUUCACAGAGAAGGGGUUGUGUCAUGAGGAUUUUGUAAGAAGCAUAUUUUUAGGCUAUUUAUAGCAUGAUCACAUUUACCAGGACAAAGCACUGGACACUUUCAAUGGAGAUGAAGCUUUGGGGGCCUUUCGUAUUAGCCAGAAAUGGUCUCCCUUUUCCAUUAGUGAGAUCCUCCAGGAAAAUGAAUAUGAUCCCAACAUGCCUUGAAUUUGUGAUUAGGCAACUGUCUACUUCCUAAAAUAGCAUGCAUCUAUGCAAUCCUACUCUUUGUAGAGCUCCAUUUUUGUGAUAGCACAAGGGUUUUAUUUUAUUUCUUAGUCUCAUUUUUGGUGUAAAAGCCAAAGUACCAUGCACUGGUCUCAUAGAACACAGUCGGCAAGAGUCUAGUCAUCCAUCAACUUCUUGGUAGUUACAAGCAACUGGAAACAGUUGGGGUGGGGGUGAGGAGCAGAGGUUAGGAAUGAAGUGCAGAUGGGGCAUUGAUGUGGGUGCAAGGAAGAAAAGGUCAUGACCGAAUAGGAGAGCUGAGAGGAGGUGUUUGACUGAGAAAUGCACUUGAGUUCCCUGUGUGGUCCUAGGUUGCCUGAUAAAGCUAACAUUGUUCUAAACUUCUUGAUAUUUUAAAGGUUAAAAGACCCCAGAGUUGAGUAGCUGUGGAAUGCAUAUAGAGGCUUAACCAGAAGAAACAAAGCUUUGCCACUCAUUCUGAGUUUGCUUGAUCACUCUUGUCCCACCAGGCACAGGUGACCUGGUGCCUCAGUGAAGACCACUUUGUAGGCAAAGAUUCUUCCCCAAAGCUCACUGUCUCUCAUGGGGAGCCUGGCAUGGAUACUCUCACAGUUCACUAGGCGCAAGAGCUUGAGGGCUGUCAGCUAUUGGAUCUCAGAAGUCUAGAGGCAUGAUGUUACUAAGAAUGCAAACAAUCAGCCUGACAGUUCAAAUUAUUGUUCUUUGUUCUUACAUAUUUGACAUAGAUAUGUGAAGACUUCUGAAGUCUUACCUGAAACUGGGUAUAAUGCUUAUGCUGCUUUUGCAUCUGUUGGAUCAGUCAUUACCCAGAAGGUAGAACAUGUCAACUAUCUUCUCAUUUUCAUUCUGUGUCCCAGACUUGGUUGUUGCUUACAGGGGAUAUCACCGUUCUCCUACCUUUGAUGACUUAUGCCUGCUUGCCACCCUCAAUUUGGAAACCACAAAUGUAUUCAACAAUGUUGUAGUGAUUUAUUAAUCAAAUGUGUGCAAACAUGUUGGGUUAUGAAAUAUCUAUUAAAGAAUGUCUGUGAAGUUUUGGAAGCAUAGAAAAUCAAAGAUGAUAGAAUGUAAUUUUGACCCAAAGCAGGUUUUAUCAUGUGAGAUCAUUUUUUCCACAUAAAACCACGAAAGUUUUCACAAUUUCCAUAGCUUGUUUUGUUACCGAAACUGAAGAGUGUUACCUCCUGGCAAAUUAAUCAAACUCUCCACAAGGGGUAGUUGUGUCACACAGUAAAGUAUAUUAGCAGCAAAUAGGACACCAUGAGGAAUCAUUUCUGGAGUCAUGGCAUCCCUGAACAAAGGGAAACAAGGACAGUUCUUUCAGAUGGAGAAUUGAUAUUCAAAAAAGAGAGUUGGGUAUUCACCUGUGCAGGCUCAGGUGGAAAACAUACUUCCAUAUACACUGCAGAGUUUGAUAAUAAGAUCUAAGCUCCUACUGGAGAGAUCUUAGCAUUAAAAAUAAGGCAAAGGUCAUAGGAGUAGCUCCUUGGUGAGGUUUGGUCUGGUUCAGGGUGGUUGGUGAUUCCAUCUCCUUAACAUAACAAAAGAAAAAAGAACAAUUUGGAAAAACUGUUCAAAUAUCCAAAGCCACCCUGUAGUUCCUCGGAGUAUCUAAUCAGUGAAGUUUCUUGUACAAUUGGCUGUGCUGCACAUUUUUCUGAGAGAGAACUUUCCCCUGAGCUGUUGGCACGCUACGUAGGGCUACACAUUCACCCAACAAAUGACUCAGACCCCAAUUCUCUCAUGGUGAUCCGUGGAUCCAGAUCAUAUUGGCAGUCACUCACCUCUUUCUGCUCUACUUCUGCCCCUCAUUGCCCCCUCUCUCGUCUGGCCCACAUUUAGCUCAUCAUAACUCUGCUAUUCUGACAAAGGGCAAAAGGCAUCUGUGUCUGUGCUCAGCCAUCAUAUCUGGAGAGAAGCUUGGCUGCUCUUCUGAGGCUCUCAUUACUAAAUUUGUAAUUGCUUUAGAAUUUUUCUGUGAACACUAAGAGAAAACUAAGAAGGUAAAUGAACAGAGCAUUAGAGAUGUGUGGGUCACUGAGCGCAAUAUACUUGUAAUGGGAGUCCCAGAAGGAGAGGAGAGACAGAAAGGAGUGGAAAAACAUAUGAGAAGAAAUAAUGGUUGAAAGUUUCUCAAUUUUAGUGACACAACCCCCAAACAAACCAAAACUAUUAAUCUACACACUGAAGAGAACUCCAAGGAGGAGAAAGUACCAUAGAAGAUUGGGCAAGAUUUCUUCCAUUCCUCCUUCCCUUCUACCCUAGAUCUCAUGGUCUCAUUUCCAGCCCAGCCUUCUCUUCAGACAGCACCUCUGGCUCAUUCUCACCCACAGCUGCUGCUUCUAUAUCAUGUCAACAGGGAGAUGUGCUGGGAUGGAGCUACUUCUGAGUCUGUGACAUCAACCACACAUGAUGCCUCUUCUGUUUAACCUAGAACCCAGAGAGCUCAAAGGAAAAUGUGGCUCUAACAAUGCCGUACAUGUGCAGAGGAGGUCUCUUCCCACUUCCUCCAAAUAGCUUCUUCUAUCAUUAGAACUUUAUUCCUUUUGUCUUACAAGAGAUUCUUUUUUUACUAUUACUUUUUAAAUUGUGGUUAUAUACACAUAACAUAAAAUUUAGCUUUUAUCCAUUUUUAAGGGUACACUUCAGGAACAUUAAGUAUAUUCACAUUGUAUUGCAACCAUCAUGACAAUCCAUCUCCGGUUAUUUCAUCUUCCCAAAUGGAAACUCCAAACCCAUGAAACAGUCACUUCCCUUGCCCUCUCCCCCUAUUGCCUGGGAAUCACCAUUCUGCUUCUUGUCUCCAUAAAUUUGUGACUGAUUCUUAUGUAAAUGCAAGAGCCUUGAACAUGCUCUCAUUUUAAGCCUUACAUCUUAUUUAUCAAUUGGACCUUAUUAAGCAGUAAACCAACACUAGGCAAGCAGAGAUUGGAAGAAAAGUGGAAGGGUAAAAGGAAGAGCUGGGGAGGGGGCAAGCACUUGCACACAACCCUGCCUGAAUUUAUCCAUCUUCCUCCCACCACCACGAGGAAUUCGAGGUUCCUUGUAGUUUUCCUGAAUGUGUUCAGGUGGGAUAGAGACGCCUGGCUCUUCACACUUUUGGAUAUAUUGGAAGAUAAACAGAGAGAUGAGAAUGAUAUUUCUUCAUCUUAAUGAGGUACUGAUGUCAUCAUGAACAACGGAAAAGUGCUCGAAGCCUAGUGAAGGCUUCUUUUCUUGUUUCCAAGGAAAGAAGAGCCCCAGUGAAGAGUGACUGCCUCCACCUGGGCUCUGCUCCUCUGCCCUUUCUACACAACUCUUUAUCCUGUGUAGUGGGUAUAUAAGCAGCAUUGUCUCCAGAAACCUUGUCCAUAGUGCUGAUCCUCAAUGGAGCUGCUCAGUAGGGUGGAGGAUGGGAUCAUCCUCCACUUAUCUGGUCUCCUUCACUACCUGACAGGUUAACUUAGUGUGAGAAAGCUCACUUGAACCUGGGUCUAGGAGGCACAGGCUUUGGUCUCUAAGGCAAAUUCUAGAAGCCAGAGGACAGGUCGGGUCACUAGAAGACAAGAUGUUUAGUGCCUGGGACAGUCUGUGGAGGUGGAUAUGGUGGGGAAUGGAGCUCUUUGUCAAGAUUGCUACACACUGAGUUGGGGCUCCUGGCUUCUGUGGGCAGCAUGGCAGUCUUGUGGCAUGGCCCGGCUCCUUCCUUAGUUCUCAGUGUCUCCAUGCUGUGAUGAGGAGCUCUGUACCAAGCAUGCUUCAGAUAUAUAUUACAAGGAAAGUUUCUGGCCUUAGGGCAGACUGUCCAAAAGACCUGGAAAACAAUUUCUCCUGCCUAUGCCAGUUGCUUCUUUGUCCCUGAGUAUCUCAGAUCCAUGUGUCCUUCUCCCUUUCAGGAUGAGGCUGGUCCCUAAGGCCCAAAUAUUUUGAGCUGAUCAGGCAGAAUACAGUGGUAUCUUUCUCUUACAUCCUGAGUUGGAUACAUGAGAAAUACCCAUAAAAGUUUCCUUAAUGCAGUAGUGAAUAAUACACGUUUGCUUUGGCUUGCAUGUGUGUGGGAGACGGCCACAUGGGUUUCUGAACUCCUGAAUGGAUUUAACUUCCUAAGGCCUUGAGCUCUCUCUCUGAACAAUGAGGGCAGAUACAAGGGAUGGGAAAUCAGAGUGAGAUGGGGAAAUGGGCAGGAGGGGGUUGGGUGGGAGCCAAUCUCCACCUGGGCCUUUGGAGCAUUGGUGAGGCAACACUCUGAUCGUUUAGUUGGGUUCUGGGUAUCUGCCCUGGUAGAGCUGAGUGGCUCAGGAAUAGAGGGACACUAAGGUGGAGGCGACACCUAGGAAACUAUUAGUAGUAAGCUCUUCUAUUCUUGAUGCAGAAUCAUAUUCUUGGGCAGUUGCUGAGUCAGCCUGACCACACUCACUAGGAGGAAGUACUGGGCUCUCAGAAGGAAUGAAUAUGGCUUUGGGGGACUCUGGCCUGAGUCAGAGUGAUGUUCCCCACCUUGGUUGAAUUCUGAAUGGUCAAAUAGCCUGAAUAUCACCCCACAAUGCCUUGCAUGUGUGGUUAGAUGCAUACUUCCUACAAUAUCAUAACUAGAUUCAAUCCUUUCCUUUUUAGUUUUUCACUGUUGGAGAUCCUGAGCCCAUUUAUGAUAUUCAUGCAAAAAUACCAAGCUCUUGUCUCACCUGAAACAUGCUAGGUGACAGCCCCUGAUCCAUUACCUUCUUUGUAGUUUCAGACAAUGACAGAAUCUUGGGUGUGGGGCCGCAGCAGGGAGAUUGGGGAGGAAGUGGAGAUGGGGUGUUAAGGAGAGUAGGAGGAAGGUAAGGAGAGAGCAGAUGCGGAGCCUUUGAGGAGGGUUGAGGACCAUUGUGCUUGAGUUCAGUGUGUGCUCCCUGAAGACUGCUUUAGUUCCAAGUGAGGUAACUAAGCAUGAACUUGUCAUGGUUUUAUGAGUUCCCAGUCAAGUCAGUAGGGCCUUUAGUGAACAGAGGUUGCACCUGGAGAAAGAGAGUGGGAGGAAUUGUGUCCUUUUGCAGUAGAGUUCAGUGUGCCUAACACUAAUGCCAGAGCUCUGCUGCUGAGGUUUCCUUAAUAGAGAAGAGUGCAGAGAUGUGGGAGGUGGUUGGGCUGGCCUCUGGGAUGGUCAGGAGCGAACUGUCUCCUGGAGGUGAGCACUGUGAGGUGUGGAAAUCUUUUCAGCAGAGCAGCUGGAGGCAGAGAGCUGCCUGGGAAGUGCUGACAGGCACAGAAAGACCUGGAGGUGAGACAUGUCUGGGGAUUGAGUCUUGAGACUGGGCUCUAAGUAGAUGUCACAGAAAGGAACUGCUGAAUGGAGGACUCUUCCUCUGCUCUCUACUCCUCUCUCCCCACUAUCAAAUAUUCUUUCCAUUUACCAAUGCAAGCAUUUAAUAAUGAGACUGUUAUCCUCCAAAACAUGGUUGUAAAGGACAAUGUCUGUGGAUACAUGGUACCGAAUAUAGAGACUGACUGAGUAUUGUUAGAGAUGUAUUCUUGAUUAAAAUUUUGUGGAUAAAUGGCUUACAUUGAAUAUUAGACCAAUGACUUUUUGAUAAGCUAGUCCCGUAAUACAAUGGUCACAUUUACCAAAGCAUUUCUGUGUAUAGUCACUUGGAUUUGACAAAACAUGACUUCAGCGAGUAUUCCAUUUAAGAUCAUGGAAAUUGCAAAACUUCAGAUGGUAAAUGUCACACUGCGAUGAGUAAAGACUUUUUUUUCCAAUUAGAUUUUUGAGGUCAUAUGGUUUAUAAGAUUGUGUAAUUUCACGUGUACAUUAUUAUUGAUCAUUUUUCUGUAUAGACUUAAAGAGUAAUUUACAUUUUGCUGGAGGUAGAAAAAUCUGCCACCUCAUUCUGCAUGGUUCUCUUAAGAAGGUAUUUAUAUCAUGAUUAAAGUAUGUGACUUCAGUAAGCGCUUCUUUGAAUAUGACCUAAUCUUUACUGUAAAAUUUAUGUUAUUUUAG
This 6820-nucleotide long non-coding RNA is filed under the name Equus asinus (donkey). RNAcentral's name for it is "lncRNA (ENSEASG00005037868.1)". Lineage: Eukaryota; Metazoa; Chordata; Mammalia; Perissodactyla; Equidae. The record is from RNAcentral.